RNAcentral lists this ribosomal RNA (233 nucleotides) under uncultured bacterium. Its description in RNAcentral is "partial 16S ribosomal RNA". It matches the Rfam family "Bacterial small subunit ribosomal RNA", at positions 103 to 334 of the family's 1533-position model. The record is from RNAcentral.
CGGGUGAGUAACGCGUGAGGAACCUGCCUCAAAGAGGGGGACAACAGUUGGAAACGACUGCUAAUACCGCAUAGGCCCACAGGUCGGCAUCGACCAGAGGGAAAAGGAGCAAUCCGCUUUGAGAUGGCCUCGCGUCCGAUUAGCUAGUUGGUGAGGUAAUGGCCCACCAAGGCAACGAUCGGUAGCCGGACUGAGAGGUUGAACGGCCACAUUGGGACUGAGACACGGCCCAG